Long non-coding RNA from Vicia villosa (hairy vetch), 1434 nucleotides. RefSeq lists it as uncharacterized. The record is from RefSeq and is a predicted model, not a curated record. The transcript is spliced from 7 exons. NCBI's taxonomy places the organism in Eukaryota, Viridiplantae, Streptophyta, Magnoliopsida, Fabales, Fabaceae.
UCUCAGAUAUUGUAUCUCAGCAUAUUCAUCUCAUUCUCCGUUUCCGACCGACCUGUCCGUCUCCAUCUCCGAUCGCCACCGUCUUCCUCCACUCCGAUCGACCUUGUUGUCUUCCAAGUCCGAUUGUCCUAUUUCCUCCCUUUCCGGUCGAUAUUGCCUUCCUCAAUCUCCAAUUGAAAUCGCCAGUCCCCUCAAUCUCCAAUCGAUCCCUCAUCUACUCUUUGUGUUUGAUGGAUCUAUGUUCUUUCAUCCUCCUUCUCCCCCUAGUCUUCGAUUAUUGAGCGAUCUCUUAUUUCAGUCCCAAUUCCAAACCCUAGAACAUAGUUUCAUCUUCUUCUUGUUUACUUCAGCGUGGAUAGACUGAUAAGAAUUUUGUUCUUAACAGAGGUUUCAAUUGUGAAAACGGUGGAAAUUGCAAUAGUGUUUUACGUGACAUAAAAAGCUGAAUAAGAUACUAGUUGAAACAAAUAGUUUCAAAUUUUUAUUGAAAACAAAACUUAGUUUUCAUGAUCCAAGUGUAUGUUUGGAUUUACGAUGAGAUUAGUAGAAUUCGAGUGUGCUUCGGAGACUUUUUACAAAAGCUAUACACUUCAGAUCUUCAACAAAAUUAGUGUUAUUAUGGGUACUUUUGCUGACGCUUUUCUUGCCGACCUCGAUGAACUCUCUCAAUAACGAGGCUGAAAUUCCAGUGAGUUUUUAAUUUUGAAUUUUGAAGAAAUUUAUUUUGUAUACAUGAUUAAAUUGAUGAACAAUGUGGGUGGGUUUAUCUAAGGCAGAUAAUGAUUUGGAAAAACUUAACAAUAAUGACUUGGAUAGUGUUUAUAAGUUGCAGAAAAGCCAGAGAUACAUUGAUAUUAUACAGAACGACGCCGUAUGGAGAGUCCAUUAAAAGUGAACUGAGACGGUGAAAGGAUCUGCAGGGUUAUAGAGACGGUCUACAUCCGAGUCAAUUUCGAUUCUCUCUUUUACCCUUCCACACACUUGUUACUCCUAAUACUCGCCACCACUCUUCUUCUCUAUUCUUCAUCCCUAAAUCUCCAACCAUGUCACUUAAGGCUGCUUCUGGUUCUAUACCAAGUGCAGAGAAAAGUAGUAGCUCUGAUGUUGAGGAGGUUGUCAAAUCUGAGACAUACAACAAUAACAUGACAGAAGCCAUGGGUGCUGCCCGACUCCUGAAGAUGUUGAUAAGCUGCGUAAAAUCGGAGUGAAAACUAUAUUUUGAUUACAGCAAGACCCAGACCUAGAGUAUACUGAAUAUAUUUGUUUUAUAUGGUUCAUUUUCAGCAUUUGUGACGUGGUACACUGAUUUAAUCUAAAAAAUGACAUGGUCUUCAAUUAUUAGUAAUUGUAAAUAAAAACCAAAAUUUUCUCGGUUGAUAUGUGUAACUUAAAUAUAAUAAAAGUAAUUGCAAUUUAUAAAAUUGUUUUUUUCUA